UCGGGGGAGUAUUUGGGAGCACGCGCCGACGCGCGCGUCGUGCGUGCCGUCGUCUUUGUCGCGGUGGAGCGGAGCGCGCCCACUUGCGCGCCUGGGCCGGAGGCGGGCGCGCCGGGGGUUCGGGAAUCCCCUGGAGCCACACGUAAAGGCGCGGGCGGGAGGGAGGGAGGGGCCAGCAAGGAUAAGGCACGCGCGGCCGCUGCGAUUGGGGCGCUUGUGAACACCGGGGCGCCACGUGGAGAGGACGUUACACUCCAGCCGCCAAAUUUCCACUCCCACACCCGCGCUCCCCUCCCCUCUCUUUUCCGUGAUCGCACCUCGCCCACGCGCCCCCCGCCACACACAAUCUCUGCAGCUCUCCAGCUUCGUUGGAACUCGCGAAUCUCUCUCCGAUCCCAGGUGAAGCGCGAGCUUGGAGUUGGAGGGGAGAUCGAUCAGGGCCAGGAUGCCGUCGGUUUCGAGGGCCGUAGGGCGAGCGGGAAUAACGGCAGGAGGUGCAGAGAUGGGGCGGCCGCCGCCGGCCGCCGAUCCGUCGUGGCGCAGAGAGCGCGGCACGGCAAGCCGGAGGUCGCCAUCCGCUCGGGGUCCGGCGGCUCGGCGCGGGGCGGGCAUUGCUCGCCUCUCAGGGCAGUGGCGGCGCCGAUCCCGACUACCAAAAAGAUGCAUGCGUUCAACAUCUUUUAG
Molecule: long non-coding RNA, 684 nt
Filed under: Oryza sativa Indica Group (long-grained rice)
Lineage: Eukaryota; Viridiplantae; Streptophyta; Magnoliopsida; Poales; Poaceae
Description: lncRNA OsLima_05g0016560
Source: RNAcentral